This 520-nucleotide unclassified non-coding RNA is filed under the name uncultured Scutellospora. Its description in RNAcentral is "SSU rRNA". It matches the Rfam family "Eukaryotic small subunit ribosomal RNA", at positions 569 to 1091 of the family's 1831-position model. Lineage: Eukaryota; Fungi; Glomeromycota; Glomeromycetes; Diversisporales; Gigasporaceae. The record is from RNAcentral.
AGCAGCCGCGGUAAUUCCAGCUCCAAUAGCGUAUAUUAAAGUUGUUGCAGUUAAAAAGCUCGUAGUUGAAUUUCGGGAUUCUACCGUCGGUCGGGCUACCAAGUCUGUACUGGUGUGUAGAAUUCCUACCUUCUGGGGAACCAUCAUGUUAUUAAUUUAGCGUGGUGGGAAACCAGGACCUUUACCUUGAAAAAAUUAGAGUGUUCAAAGCAGGCUUAUGUCUGAAUACAUUAGCAUGGAAUAAUAGAAUAGGACGGUGGUCCUGUUUUGUUGGUUUCUGAAUCACCGUAAUGAUUAAUAGGGAUAGUUGGGGGCAUUAGUAUUCAAUUGUCAGAGGUGAAAUUCUUGGAUUUAUUGAAGACUAACUUCUGCGAAAGCAUUUGCCAAGGAUGUUUUCAUUAAUCAAGAACGAAAGUUAGGGGAUCGAAGACGAUCAGAUACCGUCGUAGUCUUAACCAUAAACUAUGCCGACUAGGGAUCGGACGAUGUUAAAUUUUUAUUGACUCGUUCGGCGCCUUAC